Molecule: transfer RNA, 80 nt
Filed under: Leucoagaricus naucinus
Lineage: Eukaryota; Fungi; Basidiomycota; Agaricomycetes; Agaricales; Agaricaceae
Also listed under: 1 other name
Description: tRNA-Leu
Rfam family: tRNA
About the family: Transfer RNA (tRNA) molecules are approximately 80 nucleotides in length. Their secondary structure includes four short double-helical elements and three loops (D, anti-codon, and T loops).
Source: RNAcentral
ACGAGUAUGCCGAAAUGGUAGCCGGGUGGGUUUUAGGUGCUCAUAAUUUUAUUGUAAGAGUUCAAGUCUCUUUACUCGUA